Molecule: long non-coding RNA, 873 nt
Filed under: Zea mays
Lineage: Eukaryota; Viridiplantae; Streptophyta; Magnoliopsida; Poales; Poaceae
Description: long non-coding RNA (ZMAY_LNC000972)
Source: RNAcentral
AUAAUUCAAUGGAGUUCAGCAAGAUUGGUCGAACCAGUACGCACUAUUGAUGGGCUUACAUUUCAGAAAACAGAGUACCCACAGCUUCAAUUUAUCUCCCGCAUCUGCAGAAGAAAUCAUCUCAGAGUUGGGCACUAUGGGGAUUCACAUGAUAAUUCCACUGAAGAAGCAUCCAUAUGAUUGACGUUCCUAUGUAAAUAAACGGGCAGUGUCGAUUAGAGUGGCUAAACAAAUGGAGCAUUAUUACAGGUAAUGCAUGCAACAAGCACGCUGUCAGUGCUUCUAUUUUGCAAGAUUGAAAGCUGGAACCGAUAAAUGCUACAUUCCAUUGUUUAAACUGCAAAAGUAAAAUAUAUACUGAUAAAAUCCUGAGGAAGUUUAAAUGAAGACCCUGCAUAGGGAAACAAGAUAGCUCCUAAAGCUAAAUCAAAUAAAUAUUUUGAGAGAAGUACCAGACAAUCAACCAAACAGGUCGUUAAAGCUGAUUUCUGAUUAGGUUCUGAAGAACUAAAUUUUCGAAGGUGAAUGAAAUUAAUGGUCCACUCUGAAGGAAAGCUUAGUACCUGCAAAGAAGCCAACUGUGCUCAGAUUUGCUGCAGCCAUGGUGUGAUAUAUCAAGUACUCUGUGAUAGAAAUUAUAAAUUUAGCAUGAGGGCUUUUCUUAAAGAUGUGGCAAAACCCCAUUAUGAACUGAAUCUUGUAACUGCCUACAAGAAAGACCAUGUAGCUGAGAGGGAUUAAGACUUCCCUACUCACUCAAUCUAGGAGGAAUAAGGAUAAUAAUUGCUGGUGAUGAUAAGCAAUGUUUGUUGAACUUUUUGGUUUCUUUCUUUGCGAUGUUCUUUUUCUGUUCAUAAUAUUUUCACUAGGCGG